AGAGUUUGAUCAUGGCUCAGGAUGAACGCUAGCGGCAGGCUUAAUACAUGCAAGUCGAGGGGCAGCAGGGGUGUAGCAAUACACUCGCUGGCGACCGGCAAACGGGUGCGGAACACGUACGCAACCUACCCAGAACUGGGGGAUAGCCCGGGGAAACCCGGAUUAACACCUCAUAAGAUAGUGGAGUGGCAUCACUCAGCUAUUAAAACUCCGGUGGUUUUGGAUGGGCGUGCGGCUGAUUAGGUAGUUGGCGGGGUAACGGCCCACCAAGCCUGCGAUCAGUAACUGGUGUGAGAGCACGACCAGUCACACGGGCACUGAGACACGGGCCCGACUCCUACGGGGAGGGUUGUAAGGAAUAUUGGUUCAAUGGACGCAAGUCUGAACCAGCCAUGCCGCGUGAAGGAUGAAGGUCCUCUGGAUUGUAAACUUCUUGCGCAGUGGACGAAACCCGGAUAUUCUUAUCCGAUUGACGGUACCCUGGGAAUAAGCACCGGCUAACUCCGUGCCAGCAGCCGCGGUAAUACGGAGGGUGCAAGCGUUAUCCGGAUUCACUGGGUUUAAAGGGUGCGUAGGAGGGCAGGUAAGUCAGUGGUGAAAUCUUCGAGCUUAACUCGGAAACUGCCGUUGAUACUAUCUGUCUUGAAUAUUGUGGAGGUGAGCGGAAUAUGUCAUGUAGCGGUGAAAUGCUUAGAUAUGACAUAGAACACCAAUUGCGAAGGCAGCUCGCUACACAUAUAUUGACUCUGAGGCACGAAAGCGUGGG
RNAcentral lists this ribosomal RNA (766 nucleotides) under uncultured bacterium. RNAcentral describes it as "bacterial SSU rRNA". It matches the Rfam family "Bacterial small subunit ribosomal RNA", at positions 8 to 765 of the family's 1533-position model. The record is from RNAcentral.